UCAAUUAAAUAUACUUUCACUUAUAUAUCGUCGAAAUAAGGUCGACAGUCUCUACCUGAUACCGUAAAUAUCAGACUAUAAGUUAAAAUAAGCGUGUG
RNAcentral lists this non-coding RNA (98 nucleotides) under Vagococcus lutrae. RNAcentral describes it as "Guanine sequence". It matches the Rfam family "Purine riboswitch aptamer". Rfam says of the family: Riboswitches are metabolite binding domains within certain messenger RNAs that serve as precision sensors for their corresponding targets. Allosteric rearrangement of mRNA structure is mediated by ligand binding, and this results in modulation of gene expression. A class of riboswitches that selectively recognises guanine and becomes saturated at concentrations as low as 5 nM. Lineage: Bacteria; Bacillati; Bacillota; Bacilli; Lactobacillales; Enterococcaceae. RNAcentral also lists the same sequence under 1 other name. The record is from RNAcentral.